Molecule: ribosomal RNA, 253 nt
Filed under: uncultured bacterium
Lineage: Bacteria
Description: partial 16S ribosomal RNA
Rfam family: Bacterial small subunit ribosomal RNA
Source: RNAcentral
UACGUAGGGUGCAGGCGUUAAUCGGAAUUACUGGGCGUAAAGCGUGCGCAGGCGGUUCGUUAAGUCAGAUGUGAAAGCCCCGGGCUCAACCUGGGAACUGCAUUUGAAACUGGCGGGCUUGAGUAUGGCAGAGGGGGGUGGAAUUCCGCGUGUAGCAGUGAAAUGCGUAGAGAUGCGGAGGAACACCGAUGGCGAAGGCAGCCUUCUGGGCCAAUACUGACGCUCAUGCACGAAAGCGUGGGGAGCAAACAGG